AUGGGAAGAGGUAAAGUCUGGGCUCAUUGAAAUCAUUCCUUUGAUAUGCACCUCAGCUGUCUGGGGCCAGUAACCUGUGUUUUCUCCUCCAGAGCUUCAGGGUGCACCAGUCGUUGGUGGCUGCAGCAGUUGACUGCUAGAUGGCAGGCAUCCUGUUUCUAUCUUGAGUUCCCUCAGAGCUCACCAUAGGGGCGGCUGUAAUGUGGUAGCUUGAAGGCUGCAACAUCUUUUGUUUCCUGAUAUGGCAAGCAGCAUUCUUAGUUCAUAAGUUGAAGCCCUUUUCUGUCUGGUCUGCCAACUAAAGGUUGCCCCUUGCCAUCUACCUCUACAAGGAUUAAAUCCCAAGCUGCUAUGACUGCUGACAACACAUCCUGAAAGGAGUUCGGGGUGGAGAUCAGGAAUGAGGUUCUCUGUGCUCUGGGAAAAACUGGCAGAACAGGCCUUCAGAUAGUUAGAUAUUUUCAGGAGAAGAUUUUAUGAGCCCAAUGCUUGCAUCUCCUCGUAGCUAGAAAAGCACUGAAGUCUUUCAUGGUGACGUCUGCUCCUCACAACUAGCAGUAACCUUCUCGAGCCUAGCAGAAACCUUCUGCAAAAAUGUGUGCUUGACUGCAUGCACCCCGCCUUCACCAGAAUCACAUAUAUACUGACCUUCCCCCCUGCCUCUUUGGAGCAGUUUCUCAGCUCUCUGAAAUGCUGCCUCCAGGGCUAUAGUCCUCCUUUCGCCCCCAAUAAAACGACUCACAACUCUCACAUUGUGCAAUUUUUUUUUCAGAUCACAGGUCCCUCCAGAAAUUGGAGACUCUUAGGUUCUGAGCAGCCUUAUGAGGUGAAAGGGAAAGACGGUCUCCUGGCAUGUGCAGGAAUCUCUAUAUUUGGGGACCGAGAAAUCCAAGGUGGAGCCUGAUGGCAGGUCUUUGGCAUGGCUUUCUUGGCCUUGAGAGGCCUUUUGGGAAUUCAGCCUGAGACUCCUUCUGAGGAGUUCUGCCUCAGCCACUUUGGAGGAGCCUACGUGGUCAAUUGAUCAGACUUGUUUUGCGAACAAAUUAGUUUUGAUUUGGCUGUGUUUGGUGGAGAUGAGAGUAAUUUUAGAUUGAAAAAGAUUGUUUCAAUAGAUAUUAAAUUCUAGUUCUGUUAAUUGAGGUCUGUAUUGAUGAAAGUUAUUGUGUUAGCCACACUUGCCCUGAUGUUCAGGAGGAAAAGAUUAUCCAGUGAAGUUAUCACAGAGUGUAACUACUCAUGAUGUAUAUAACAUUGCUCGCUUUAAGUCGGCUGCUAAAAGCACAUGUACAAGUCUUGCGUAACAAUUUGGUAUAAGUGAUAAAAUGUAUGGCCUAUUCCCCAUUAACAUACCCCUGAGUCUGUUCACAAGAUCUGAUUAAGUUUCCCCCAGUGUGAAUAACUAGGCGAAAAUAAAGGAGGUCCAGCACCGAGGGACAUGAUCUGAACCUGGGGUAGGAGCCAGCACCCCAGCAUUGAGGGACGGAUAUUUUGAUCAUCAAUGCUUUCUAUUGGAAGAUUUGCAAUCAAAAGGGGAAAUGAUGGAAAAAUCUACACGUAUUAAGCACUCAAAGCCAAUGCCUUUACAAGGUCUUUGCCGUGUAUUCACCAGAGAAGGCAGAAGCAUUACAAAUGGUGCCUCAGAUUCCACUGGACAGCCAAUCUCCCCACCGACUACCUGCAAAGUUACAAGGCCUACUUGGAGCACACAGGGAACCACACCUAUUUUUGGUCUUUUUCACAAUAUUUUCUUCAUGUCUUCUUUCUCUGACAAAACCUUAGAUGCUGGUAUUCCCCCCUUCUAAUCCUUGGCCCUCUCUCUUCCCUUCCCUUUUCAUUUAUUCCCCUUCAUUCAUAUGGCUCCAACUAUCAGCCAUAAGGUGAUAACUCCGCCUGUAACUCCAGGCCUGGCCUCUAAGCUCUAGAUUCUUGCUGUUCAAUAGGGCAGUUACUAGUCACAUGU
Aethalodelphis obliquidens (Pacific white-sided dolphin) is the source of this 1960-nucleotide long non-coding RNA. RefSeq lists it as uncharacterized. The transcript has 3 exons. The record is from RefSeq and is a predicted model, not a curated record. Lineage: Eukaryota; Metazoa; Chordata; Mammalia; Artiodactyla; Delphinidae.